Molecule: ribosomal RNA, 253 nt
Filed under: uncultured bacterium
Lineage: Bacteria
Description: partial 16S ribosomal RNA
Rfam family: Bacterial small subunit ribosomal RNA
Source: RNAcentral
UACGUAGGGAGCAAGCGUUGUUCGGAAUUACUGGGCGUAAAGCGCGUGUAGGCGGCUCUUCAAGUCAGGCGUGAAAGCCCCGGGCUCAACUCGGGAACUGCGCUUGAUACUGUCGAGCUAGAGUGUGGAAGGGGCGAUUGGAAUUCCGUGUGUAGCGGUGAAAUGCGUAGAUAUACGGAGGAACACCAGAGGCGAAGGCGGAUCGCUGGGCCAACACUGACGCUGAGACGCGAAAGCUAGGGUAGCAAACGGG